GUGCUCACUUUGGCAGCACAUAUACUAAAAUUGGAAUGAUACAGAGAAGAUUAGCCUGGCUCCUGAGCAAGGAUGGUAUGCAAAUUCAUAAAGUAUUCCAUAUUUUU
Molecule: small nuclear RNA, 107 nt
Organism: Rhinopithecus bieti (black snub-nosed monkey)
Lineage: Eukaryota; Metazoa; Chordata; Mammalia; Primates; Cercopithecidae
Source: Ensembl